UAGCUCAGUAGGUAAAGCAUCUGCCUGCAACACAGAAGACCUGGGUUUAAUCCCUG
This is a non-coding RNA of Bos taurus (domestic cattle), 56 nucleotides long. The record is from Rfam. NCBI's taxonomy places the organism in Eukaryota, Metazoa, Chordata, Mammalia, Artiodactyla, Bovidae.